RNAcentral lists this ribosomal RNA (253 nucleotides) under uncultured bacterium. RNAcentral's name for it is "partial 16S ribosomal RNA". It matches the Rfam family "Bacterial small subunit ribosomal RNA", at positions 524 to 776 of the family's 1533-position model. The record is from RNAcentral.
UACGGAGGGGGCCAGCGUUGUUCGGAAUUAUUGGGCGUAAAGGGCGCGUAGGCGGCAGGAUAAGUCUGACGUGAAAUCCCUCGGCCUAACCGAGGAACUGCGUUUGAAACUGUCCAGCUCGAGUCCGGGAGAGGGUAGUGGAAUUCCCAGUGUAGCGGUGAAAUGCGUAGAUAUUGGGAGGAACACCGGUGGCGAAGGCGGCUACCUGGACCGGUACUGACGCUGAGGCGCGAAAGCCAGGGGAGCAAACAGG